Molecule: ribosomal RNA, 484 nt
Filed under: uncultured bacterium
Lineage: Bacteria
Description: partial 16S ribosomal RNA
Rfam family: Bacterial small subunit ribosomal RNA
Source: RNAcentral
AUUGAACGCUGGCGGCAGGCCUAACACAUGCAAGUCGAGCGGAUGAAGGGAGCUUGCUCCUGGAUUCAGCGGCGGACGGGUGAGUAAUGCCUAGGAAUCUGCCUGGUAGUGGGGGAUAACGUCCGGAAACGGGCGCUAAUACCGCAUACGUCCUGAAGGAGAAAGUGGGGGAUCUUCGGACCUCACGCUAUCAGAUGAGCCUAGGUCGGAUUAGCUAGUUGGUGGGGUAAAGGCCUACCAAGGCGACGAUCCGUAACUGGUCUGAGAGGAUGAUCAGUCACACUGGAACUGAGACACGGUCCAGACUCCUACGGGAGGCAGCAGUGGGGAAUAUUGGACAAUGGGCGAAAGCCUGAUCCAGCCAUGCCGCGUGUGUGAAGAAGGUCUUCGGAUUGUAAAGCACUUUAAGUGGGGAGGAAGGGCAGUAAGUUAAUACCUUGCUGUUUUGACGUUACCAACAGAAUAAGCACCGGCUAACUUCGUG